Molecule: transfer RNA, 71 nt
Filed under: Rasbora trilineata (scissor-tailed rasbora)
Lineage: Eukaryota; Metazoa; Chordata; Actinopteri; Cypriniformes; Danionidae
Description: tRNA-Gly
Source: RNAcentral
AUCUUUCUAGUAUGAACCCAAUACAGGUGGCUUCCAACCACUCAAUCCUGGUUAAACCCCAGGGAAAGAUA